AGUGGCCUUGGAAAAACUGAGAUUAGAACCAAGUUAGAGCCAAGGUUAGAGCCGAAUGACCUGAUUUAUGUACAUGGCAGUUAUGCUUAACAGCAAAGGUGAUUUUUAGACUUGAUCUGGCUCUGCGGCCUCAAUUUUACGUCCCCUGCUUAGCAUGAUAUAAUUAGUUAGGUACCAAUAACACAUAGUCAAAAUGGUUACCGGUAACGGUAACGCUUCGAUAAGCGAAAGGAGCUGACGGCUGAAAAGCCUUUCAUCAUGAAGACCGCCGUCGCUCUCGCCUGCCUGCUGGUGGCCGUCGCUGCCAGGCCCCAGUUGGGAUUGGGUGUGGGCACUGGUCUUGGAACUGUCGGAACCCUUGGAACCAGCCGUCUCACCACGGGCGGUUUGGGCACAGGCCUCGGAUUCGGCACAGGCCUCGGCACAGGCCUCGGUGUUGGCACAGGCCUUGGACUCGGCACAGGCCUCGGACUCGGCACAGGUCUCGGACUCGGCACAGGACUCGGUGUCGGUGGCACUCGGGUCACCACUAGCCAGACGACUUUCGGCAACACUUUCGGCCGCUAAUCCACAGAUUCUGAGUGCAUGCUUGAAAUAUACCCUUACACCUUUUCGGAACCAUGCGACGUCAGCUCGCUGAUUCUCAGUGCAGACAAAAAUGUGCCUUUUAUCUUUUGGAACCAUGCGAUGUCAGUCUCGUGGAAGUUUUUCCUUGAAGGAAACAGUGUGACUGUAUAUCGUUUGCUCAUUGCUGUGCAUUACUUGUUGUCAUUCCAUAAUAAAUGUGCAAUUU
Molecule: long non-coding RNA, 793 nt
Organism: Amphibalanus amphitrite
Lineage: Eukaryota; Metazoa; Arthropoda; Thecostraca; Balanomorpha; Balanidae
Exons: 3
Source: RefSeq, a predicted model, not a curated record